GCCACCACUGAUCUGACAGGAGGCGGAGUUCUGCGGUAACAUGAGUGAUGAGGAGUGGCUGCAAAUACAGAUGAAGCUUCGUUUGCUCACUUCCUGUUGUGUGGCCCAGACAGGGCACUGUCUGUGGCCCCAGGGGUUGAGGACCCCUGGCUUUAACAACAGAAAGACCCCAGUUACUGGAUUGGGAUCCACCCUCACUCAAUAUGGCCUCAGCUUAAUGAAAGACAUCUGCAGAGACCCUAUUUCUACUAAAAGCCACAUUCUGAGACUUCUCGUGGGCGUGAGUUUUUGAGAGACACUGUUCUGCUCCAUGCAGGGAGGGAAUUGGGAUCUGAAGACGUUGCAUUCGAGGUCUCGGGGCUCCUGAUGAGCAGCCUCGGCCUGACCUGGGGCAGGUGUGAUGUCUGCGGCUCACCAUCUCCACCCUGCCUGCUGUGGAAUCUCCACAACGACAGGUGCUUUGGAGGCCAGAGUGCAUGCGUACGGGCCCUGCACACGCUGAAUGUCACUGGGAACAAGGACACACCCCGCUUCCAGGAGAAGAUAGAACAUGUCGACCCCUUUUAGCCAUCCCCAGUGCAGGACAUGCUAUUGACUUCCAUGAGACAAACACCUACUUGGAAAUCAGGUUUUUUCUGUACCUUUUGAAGGAGCAGGAAUUUCCCAGCAUUUCCUGGACAAAGACGGAGGCCACAUUCGCUGCAUCCUUUCCAGCAAGAUGUCAUUCUGAGAUUUUUGUCAUUCCUGGGCGUUAUGAGGACUGCCAAGGGACACAAUUCCAUGGGAGGAAAGUUUUCUUCUAAGCUGCAAGCCAGCUCUGGCUUCUGGAGUUUCUCCUUAGGAUUGCAAGACAGUAGUUCCCUGUCCUUUAGGUCUUCUCCAGAAAUACCUUAAAAUAGCAAAUAAAAUAAGAUAUAAGCAAACAAAACCUGAAGUUAA
Molecule: long non-coding RNA, 939 nt
Filed under: Homo sapiens (human)
Lineage: Eukaryota; Metazoa; Chordata; Mammalia; Primates; Hominidae
Description: S-phase cancer associated transcript 1
Source: RNAcentral